This 491-nucleotide ribosomal RNA is filed under the name uncultured bacterium. RNAcentral describes it as "partial 16S ribosomal RNA". It matches the Rfam family "Bacterial small subunit ribosomal RNA", at positions 29 to 506 of the family's 1533-position model. The record is from RNAcentral.
AGUGAACGCUGGCGGUAGGCCUAACACAUGCAAGUCGAACGGCAGCACAGUAAGAGCUUGCUCUUACGGGUGGCGAGUGGCGGACGGGUGAGGAAUACAUCGGAAUCUACUUUUUCGUGGGGGAUAACGUAGGGAAACUUACGCUAAUACCGCAUACGACCUACGGGUGAAAGCAGGGGAUCUUCGGACCUUGCGCGAUUGAAUGAGCCGAUGUCGGAUUAGCUAGUUGGCGGGGUAAAGGCCCACCAAGGCGACGACCCGUAGCUGGUCUGAGAGGAUGAUCAGCCACACUGGAACUGAGACACGGUCCAGACUCCUACGGGAGGCAGCAGUGGGGAAUAUUGGACAAUGGGCGCAAGCCUGAUCCAGCCAUACCGCGUGGGUGAAGAAGGCCUGCGGGUUGUAAAGCCCUUUUGUUGGGAAAGAAAAGCAGCAGGUUAAUACCCCGCUGUUCUGACGGGACCCAAAGAAUAAGCACCGGCGAACUUCGU